CAGUAUGCCUACCUCUGGAUGUAUUUGCUACAAAUACCAGUAUUAGAUUGUAAUUGCCAAUCCUUUAAAACCAGUUUUAAGAUGGAUAUAAAGCCCUAAAAAUCUUGCAGCUUCCACAUGCACAUCUGAAAAACUUCCAAUUUACAAAGGACAUUGUGGUAUUUUUGGAAAACAAAGGAAAAUGACACAUACUAAUUUCUGUCAUUUAUUCACGUCAUAAUCCCCAAAGCUACCUUUAUUCCACGACUCUUUCCACCAUUUUCCUACAGUCAGCUUUUUUUAAGGCUAUAGCCUUUAAAAACUUGAAACAGAAAAUUUUAAGGAUGCAACCAUUAGAAAAUGUUCCCAUACUACCAUUUAACAUUCCCCAUUUAUCAUUAUGUUUACUAUCGUGUAAUUUCCAACAUAAUAUUAUGAGGUCAAAGGCUCUACGAACGCCGUUUUACAAUCUACCUAGGGAGGCAAUGGCUGUGAAACACACCACACCAAUGACAGGAAUGCGGGUCACUGUGACACAACGGAUCCCUCUGCAAAGUCAAAGCUAAGAGUUCACUUUACGCUGACGGAGCUUCUUUCCAGGACCCCCACCCCCACCCAAGGACAGGAGAGUGUCGAUUUCCCAAGGUGUCUGGCACUGCUUCUUGAAAACGCAGCUCUCAUCUGGUUCCUGGAAGGUCAUACUGGUUCGCGCAGGGCUCGGGACGGGGCGCUUGGCUUCUGAGGCACCCGCGCUGGCUCCUCACCCGGUGACCUUCAGGCCUCUGCGCUUGGCCUGACCCUAGAAGGGCCACCGCCCUUCACAGCGGGCGGGCACCGUCCCUCCCACGGCCCCGCCGACUGCUGACGCGGUGGCCCCAAGGGUCCAGGCCCGCACUUGCCCCACUCCCGCGGCGCCGUCCCCCAUAGUCGGUCCCCGAGGGCCGCGCCCAGCUCCUGCUCGGAUUUCAGCCCGCACCGCACCCCAGCCGCCAGGGAACCUUCCAGAACCCUGCCCCUCUGGCUUUCUCCCGAAAGCCCAGGGUCGCCGUCCAGGAAGAAACUUCGAUUCAUUUAUUGAGCGCCGACUGUGUCCAAGGCCGAGGGAGGGGCGGGGUUUCCACGCGGGGAGACCCCCUAGGUUCUCGCCUCGGUAAGCGCCCGCGUUCCAGCACCUCGAGUCGCCCGCGGGCCCCCACCCCUCGGGCCGGGCCCGGUCCUCGAGGAAAACCCACGGCGGGGCAGGAAGGAACGAGGAGAGCCACGCUCCUUGCCCGCCUCGUCCCCUCCACUCCCCUUCACCUCACGGGACCCCAGGGAAGCCGCCGGAGCUAAAAUUAGCAACCCGCGCAGCGCGCGCUCACGUGCGCGCGGCCCGGCGGGGGCGGGGAGCAAGGGGCGCGGUCCGGGUGAGUCACCGGCCCCGCCCCACUCGCCAAGAACGCGCUGACGUCAGCCGCUUCCCCGAAGGGUGACGUAAGCGCGCCACGGGGAGGCCGAGGCAGCUGAUAGAAUGUUCUGAGUUUCGAUGCCUUAAAGGGACCAGGCCUGGGAUCGUGAAACAUCUGGGGAAACGACUCCACUCACUCACCUGCAGACUGAGAGCCCAUCUUGUACCGUGUUAUACUUUAAGAGAGUUGACUGUUGAGAUGAUGAUGAAAACGGAAGAACAACUGAGCCUAGUUGGAGGCUCUUUGAAGUCCCAGAACCUCCUCCUGGAAGCCCUCUUUGGUUAACCAGAUGGACAUCUCAGUUGCCCUCUGAGCCUGAACCAAGUGUCAGGAAGAGUUUUCUAUGGCCCUUGACUCCUUAACUCUUUGCUUAUAGCGUCUCUGCUCUCUGAUGCCUCUGCUGUCAGAGAAAGGCUGUGGUUUAAAUAUUUAUUUAUGAAUCCAUCAGCUUGGGCCAACUAGGUCCAUUUAUCACCGUUUUGACUGUGUCUAAACUGUCAUUAGUGGUGUGACUAGAAACCAGUUAAUUUCGCUGGGUGGUAAAUUCGUGGACUGAUCUCCAAACCCUCCUACUGUGCUAAUGUUGCCAAUGGAAGUUUCCAGAGGCCAGGAUCCCUGGCCAACACGUGAUCGUAAACAACAUCAGGGCCUCACAGGGAACUCACAAUUUACUGAGGUUUGCUCUGUGCCAGGUGUUUUCAUGAUCCUCCAUCCCCUUGUCGUUUAGUCCUCUUCUCUGAGUCCUCCCCAUUUUACUGAUGAGGACGGAAAUCGAGGCACACGAUUAAGCGUUUCCCUGGGUCACACAGCUAAUGAAUGGCGAGCUGGAAGUCAGUCCCAGGUCAUCAGACUCCGAAGUCCAUGGUUUUGGUGAUGAAGGUGGGCUGUGAAAUGUGUGUCUUAUUCUAUGCAUGUGAGUCCGCUGGAACCAACUUUUCCACUUGGAACACAAUCUCAGUGCCUUUCAGCAGGUAACCGGCGCCAGACCAGAUCUCCAGAGAUGGAGGUGGUCGGCCUCAGGGCCCAGCCAUGAGAAGGUGUAUGAGGAGGCAUCGCAUCAGGCGCCCACCCUGUGCUUGCAGGGCCUGACCAUGAGCGCCGCCUUCAGUUUUACACCUUAGGCACCCCACUUGGCUCCCCUUCGUCCCAGCCCUGCCAGACCCACCCUUGACUCUGUGUUUCCUUUCUGGAAACUCGAGAGGCCAUUUCUACUUAAAGAGUCCUCACCUGGCCUACCAGCGACCAGAUCUGCCCAAGUGCAGAAGAAACACUUGGUUAUCUCCUCUUUCAUCGUCCCCGCUCGAGCAUAAAACAACAGAAAGUUUCCUAUCGGAACAGCAUGCUUGUGCCAAAAACAAAUUAGAAACAACAACAACUUCUCAAAAUUUUGAGCAAAAUGAUGGUGACCGUGUUCUGGAAAUGGAGCAAAGUGAGUGAGCCACUGUCACUGUUACAUCUGACAAUCACUACUGGUACUUGGCUAAAUAUUGCAGCCACCUCUUCAGGCUACACAUGUCAGGUGUACCAGAAGCACCUUCCGCCUCCAGCUCACUUCUGGGAGAUAUUUAGAGCUGACUCCUCUCCCCUCCCCAGUCUCCAGCCACCAGCAAGCUCUCUCCUUGGUGUCCCCAGCUCCUGCCCCUCAUGCUGAUAGAAGCAUUGCCCGCUGUUCUUCCUGUUCUUACAGGUUUCCUAGUGCCUGUGACCAAACACCUUGUGUGUGCUCCCCAGGAGAGAAAACCGCUAGCAGCCUCAGACAGGUGAGGAGUUGUUCCUCCUCAGACCCAGGAAUCAUUUCCCAGUGGAAUGACACGGUGAAGUGGAUCGCCAUUUUUAAACCUUCAAUAAUAAAGAUCUUGUGUGUCAUUUCAGUUUUAAUUUUUUAUCGUCCAGUCUUUACUCUCCAUCAUUUCUUUAUCCCAGAAGCCCCAUUAAAUGUCAUUAAGAGCCAUAAAUGUAACUGGCCACUAAUGUGGAAGGAUUGUGAUCUCCGG
Molecule: long non-coding RNA, 3421 nt
Filed under: Homo sapiens (human)
Lineage: Eukaryota; Metazoa; Chordata; Mammalia; Primates; Hominidae
Description: PREDICTED lncRNA (TCONS_00011274)
Source: RNAcentral